CUCUUCAAGGUUUGGAUCGGUAUGACUAAAGGGCUGUAUAUUAAUACGAAGGUAUUAUACGAAAAGGCUUAUAAGGUUUUGUCUUAUUUGAUCAUCCAUUACAUAUAUAAAUUACAUUGCAUGAAGUAUGUUGAAAUGAAUAUUUUAAUCAAAUGUUUAAUAAUGAACUAUCUGCACAUAACCGAAUGACCUUGUGCAAACAUGAAUAUAUGAUACAGGAAGGCCCGUAAGGUUUGAUCAUGUUGAUGAUUUUGCACCUUGUGUAUAUAUGUUAAGACAUACGAUGUAUAAUGAUUUGUGUCUAAACUUAUAUAGCUCAUGAGACAUUGUUAUCUUACGUAUGUUUGUUAAAUGAUAUGUAUUUCAGUUUCAAGUACUAAGGGGCUGUUUGGUAGGAUCUGAAUUUUUAAGAUCUGAAUUUUUAAGUGGUCUGAAUUUUUAAGAGGGUCUGAAUUUUUAAGAUCUGAAUUUUUAAAUGUUGUUUGUUUAGAACCUCUGAAUUGCAGUGCUGAAUUAUAAAAAUGACCAUUUUGCCCUUCUAUGUUAUUUUUUGCUAAAUUCAAUAUUUUUGCUUAUAAAAUAACCAAAUCAAACAUAACAUUAUCAUUUCGUGAUUAUACCCCAACCAACUAAUUGCAAUAAUACAAGAAAAUCAAUAUUUUAUAUCACAAAUGACAAACCUAUUUCUUAAUUGUGGCACCCAAAACAAUCAAAACCUCCAAUUCAAGAGCUUCAUAGAUCUUCACAAUUCUUCAACUAUAAAAAGGUACAAUAGAGACUUGAGAGCUGAUCCUUGACUGGUUUGACCUUCUAUGGCUUUAAAGGAACUAUUAGAGUUGUGGUUGGCAAUGGGAGGGUAGUAGUUGAACCAUAUAUUGUUUUAAUGGCAGAUAGUAUUGGAUCACUCUCUUCAACCUAUUGAGGCACAAUAUAGCCAAUUCCUGAUGACAAGUUAAUAGACAAUGUAUCAAAACAAUAAGGAGUCAUGAUUUUUGAUAAAUUGAAGAUGAAUGAAUGAAAUGAAAACAGAAUAUGGAAGCAAUUUCAAUAAUUUCAUAAUGAAGUGAAAACAGAAUAUGUCGUGUGUAUCCCUGUACAAACAUUGAAGAAAGCUUCAGCUUACAUCUAAUUCUAGUUUCUUUUCCUGCAAUUGUGCUGAGAAGACAACAAUAUCAAAUUUUCAAUUGAUACCCUGAUUUCAAAAAAAAAAAAAGGAAAAAAAGGAAAACAAUGGUCUGAUUUCAGGAAUGAUACUCUAAUUUCAGGGGAAAAACUACGAAACUCAAUUUUCAAGAAUUAAACUCGAAUUGCAGAGCAAGAGAAAAAGAAAAACUUUACCUAUACAAGAUGUCGGAGGCGAAGUCGACAACACCGGUGGUGUUGCAGAUCGAAUGCAGGCAAUGAAAUCGAUUUUCAGAAGAAGAGAAACAUACCUGUUGGGCAGAAUUCGAAAACGAGUUCGAGCCAGAGGACAUGCGUCGGCGUCGGCGUUGCAGGGUGCAGCAUCGUCGACGUUUUGGGUGGACGUGAACCUCGUCGGAAUCUUGGUGGUGAAGAGAAGCAGAUGCGAAUGGGAGCACACACGAAGGGAAGGAAAGGUGAUGAAGCGUUUGUCGGUCUUUCUUUAGGGCAAAUUAGGUGCGCGUCAUUUUUUUUUUUUUUCAGACCUUGUUCAAUAUCUGAAAAAAUAAGAGGAAAUUAUAACUUUAAGAGGUAAAAAAUAAGAUGCAAACAAACGAUCUGAAUCUGAAAUUUUAAGACAUUGCCUCUUAAUUUUGCAAUUAAGAGGUAAACAAACGGGCCCUAAGGACUAGAAGAUUUGGAUAGUAUCGAUAGAAGAUUUGGAUAGUAUCGAUAGCAGGGAACUUUUAAAUGAUAGUAAUUUGAUAGUUUUUAUAUGUAUGUAAAUUUACUGUUUUAUUAUGGUUUGUAAGUUAUCAUACACCUCCUAGAUGUUUUUUUAAUAACAUGUAAUUGUUUUGGUUUUUGUGGAACCACCAUGAGUAUGAAUUAAUUAAAAAAAUAUUUUCCAAACCAUAAUAUUUUAUUAUAUGAAAAUAUUUUAGUCAUUUUACAUGUAUUUAACCAUCAUUUUCUACCGAUAUUAGUCAUAAGGACNGUAACGAUAUUAGUCAUAAGGACCUAGUGCAACAUUUUAAACUCUCAAUGACUAUUGGUAUUAAAAAUUCCUUAAAAAGACUUGUAAUUGUAUUUUUGUCAGCCACAAAUAUGAUUUAUAUAAUUUUGUCUAUUUUUCUCAUUGGGUUUAUUUUACUUCACACAUUAUAAAUCAUGUAACAUAAUGUAACAUAAUAAAAUAAUUUAAUAUUUAACAUUUUAAAAUACAUGAUAUCAUCUCAAUCAACUAAUGAUGUAUCAAUUGGUCAUGGGGUUUUUUUUUUAAUACAAGAAGGGAGUUUUUUAUCUUCAAAUCAGCAUAUGACGAGUUCCCAAGCAUUUCUGGCAGGGUUGUUUGUCAUACAUAAUAAUUUAUUUGUCAUACACAACAAUUCAUGCAUUAUAUAAUUGUACAAUAUAACAUUUUAAAGCACCAACUGUUAUGUAUGAAAAAAAAAAUUAUUCUGUAUGAAUUAACUCCCUACAAAAAAUUAUAGUUUUGUAAUUAUAUGAAAACUGCCAAUAUUCUAUUUUUGUAAAUUAAUCAAGAGUUUACCUUAUUAAUCUACUAUGCAUUAUCAUUUCUUUUAAUUCUUCCAAAAAAAAUAUAUAAUAUUAGAUAUUAUGAAUAUAGAAAUGGACACCAGUGUUUUAAAAACCGGUUUGAACCGGCCGGUUGAACGGUCGAACCGGGAAUCGGAGGUGAGGGCGAUUCGAUUUGGACCGGUUUUAUAAUGAUUUUCUGACCGGAUUGAACCGGCCGGUUUUGAUAAAAAACCAGUUUAACCGGUAGAAUUGAACCGAAAUGAACCGGGUUGAACCGGACAUUCUUGGAUUUAUGUGUUUGUUUUGGGUUUCUUUGUUUGAUUUUGACUUCUAUAAUAAUUGUUUUUAUAUGUUGCCAAGGGCGGAACAUGGGCUCUAGAAUUGGAGGGGCCGUAACCAGAAAUUUAAAACAAAAUCAUGUAUAAGAAUUUUGUAUGCUACGAAGUUAUUGGUAUCGGUUUUCGGUAAUAAAAACAUUGAACAUCUAGGUAUUUGCAUCUAAAACAAUCGUCGGUUUCUCUUAGGAAGUUACUUGAUUUAUUAUAUUUUGAUAUACACUACUUAAUAUAAUUAACUAAAUUUAACGAAUAAAAAAUAAAUUAAAAUUUUAUAAUUGUAUUUUGAUAAAUAACUAAUUAUUUAUAUUUUCCUAAAAUUAUUUUAAAAAGGUUAUAACAAACUAUAUUUUAAUGAUAAUUAAUAAAUAAGAAAAUUAACUAACAUAAAGAAAUUAUAAUAUAUAUAUAUAACAAAAAGAGUUAAAUUUUUAACAGCAAAUAAAGUUAUUUAAAUAAGAUUUGGGUUAGAUUUUUAUAGCUAUAACUCUAUAUUAGAAUAUUUAAUAAUAAAGUACUCUUAUUGUUGCAGAAUUUUUGUUGUUUCAGUAAAACUUUUAAAAGUUAUCCUACUCCACACCAUCAUAUAUUCAUGUAGAUGCGUUCCGCACAUUCUAGUGAGAGAAAAAUAGACUUACAAGUUACAAGUUUGAAAUCCAGCAAGACGAGUAAAAAUCUCCAAGUCAGAGAGGGGAGUCAACAGAAACGGUGUGUCAAAGCCACAUCACAUGGAUGUUAACCGGUCAGGAUAGCAGUCGGUGAACUGAUAAAGUGAGAGUUGAGCACUCCGGCGACAACCAUAUUUUCCGGUUUCAUUUUUUUUCAGGCAACACUGAUGAUCCUUAGUUUACAGUUUCUCAAAGAUUGUGUUGAUAAAUUGUAUAGUAAAAUAGUUUUUCUUUUGAAGUUUUAUGAAGUUUUAUUUUUAGUUAGGAUUUAUUUUGAUUUUUUCCUUAAUAUUCUAGAUUUCUGUUUGAUUACUUAUCUAGUUUCCUAAAAAAAAAUAAAACCAAACAUACAUAUAUAGUAACGAUAUUAGCAGUAGAAAACCUGGCAUAGCCCCCUUUGGCCCCUAAGAGGAUCCGCCACUAUAUGUUGCAUUCUAUUUACGUUUGUAAUACUACCUCCAUCCCAAAUUAAUUGUCCACAUUUGACUUUUCCAAUCUUUAUUCUUCAACUUUGACCUUAAAUAAUUUUCUUUUUGAUCGAUAAUACUUAAUACAAAAUAUAUGAAUAGAUUGUAUUCUAAAUGUUUUUUCAUUGUUAUAAGUUUCAUCAAGUAAUAUAUAACACAAAUAAAAAUAUUUGAGGUCAAAGUUGAAUAAAAAAGACUUCAAAAGCCAAAAGUUGACAAUUAAUUUGGGACGGAAGGAGUAUUAAAAAGGUAACAAUUAAUCCACAAUCCAAUCACGAAAAAGUUUGGUUAAAUAUAGGGUUUUAAGAAUCUGGUUCAGAUCAGUAUCUGAUCUGAUUGGAUUUAACCGGAUCACAUUCUAGUUGUUGGAAACAAGAUUAGGACCAAAUAAUUGAAACUAGAUUAAACCGCCUCACUUUUUUGGAGAGAAACCGGUUACAAACGAAACUGGUUUUGGGGUCGGAGGAAACCGGUUUAUGUGUUCACCCUAAAAAUCCGACUCUGGUUUGAAACCGGUCCGGAUCAGUUAAAGCAUUAAAAAGGAACAAACAAAAAAGGAUGAUAACAUUCAUUAUAAGUAUUCUUGAAUCUUGAUAAUAUACAAGCAAGAAAAUGUCUGGAUACCUCGUGGUUGUCAGGAGCAAGAAACACAAAUACAUUGAUGCUAAAAACCAAACAUCUAUGAGAUCACUCCAACUGAGCAUACCAAACACCCUGGAUUUUCACAUCCUUAGGAACCUUGGCUCCAAGAUCAGUAUCCGAAGGCUGAAUACUCUCAAACACUCCGAUCACCUCUCCAGUAUCCGGCUUGCUUGAAGUGACACUCAAAGUAAUCUUUCCCGUUGAUGCUGCAACAUUCUUUACGUUCUCUUUAGAAAGCUCCUCUUCAUCUCCCCUCCCUCCUGCCGGCAAAGCAACCGCAUUAUCAUAUCCGGUGGAACCACCUCUACCCUUUGGGUCAAGAAAUGACGAUCCUCUGUAAGAUGGCACUAGAAAUUCUCCACUAAAGCUCUCUGGUUUCCCAGAUGCUACGAGCUGUUUGAUUGUGAAUAGGAAUGGCACACGUUCACCUCCGGGAAGCUGAACAGUCACAGCAGCGUAGUCGAUUCCGUCUUUCUCCUCGAACUUAAUGGAUCCAUCAGGAGACACUUCGAGGGGACCCUCGAUCUCGUCAAGGGUGUAGGUCAAACGGGUCAUGAGUUUGGUUUUUUGGAACUCGGGUGUAGAGUUCUUGCUUACACCUUCGGCUUUGACUGUGAAUGAUGUGGGUUCAAGGCAGAAUUUCUUGGCGUUGUAUUUGCCGGACUUGAAAGCAAACCCAGUAACUCCGCCGUCGAUGGUUGGGCAUUGGUUAGCUGUUCCGGUUCCUUUUACUUCCAUGUAUGUCUUGCUUUGGAUCUCAUCGAAAGUUAACCUUUUUGGACUUCCCUCAGCACUUGCUCCCUGAUACAAUAUCAAUAUACAUGUAUACACACUUACGCAAAUAAACAAAACAGUUAUAAUAUAUACUUGGAUCAAUAUGUCACUAACAGUCAAAGAACCGGAGGAGACAUACCGAAACAACAAGGGCAGAAGUGGCAAGAGCGAAUCCGGCGAUCUUGGCAGCAUCGGUGCAUUUCUGAGCGAAGUCCUUGAGAUCAGCCUGAAGAGAGCAAGACACCCUGGCUCCGGAGGACUCGACACCGAAGGCCUUGCAGAUGCUCGGAGAAGACUUUAGCUGCAGACGGCCGGAGACACCCACCUUGGUUGGUUGCAUGAAAGUUGCCGCUGCUUGCAGUGAAGCUGCCAUUGCUG
This 5928-nucleotide long non-coding RNA is filed under the name Lactuca sativa (garden lettuce). RNAcentral describes it as "long non-coding RNA (LSAT_LNC004704)". Lineage: Eukaryota; Viridiplantae; Streptophyta; Magnoliopsida; Asterales; Asteraceae. The record is from RNAcentral.